UAGGGAAUCUUCGGCAAUGGACGAAAGUCUGACCGAGCAACGCCGCGUGAGUGAAGAAGGUUUUCGGAUCGUAAAACUCUGUUGUUAGAGAAGAACAAGGACGUUAGUAACUGAACGUCCCCUGACGGUAUCUAACCAGAAAGCCACGGCUAACUACGUGCCAGCAGCCGCGGUAAUACGUAGGUGGCAAGCGUUGUCCGGCUUUAUUGGGCGUAAAGCGAGCGCAGGCGGUUUCUUAAGUCUGAUGUGAAAGCCCCCGGCUCAACCGGGGAGGGUCAUUGGAAACUGGGAGACUUGAGUGCAGAAGCGGAGAGUGGAAUUCCAUGUGUAGCGGUGAAAUGCGUAGAUAUAUGGGGGAACAACAGUGGAGAAGGCGGCUCUCUGGUCUGUAACUGACGCUGAGGCUCGAAAGCGUGGGGAGCAAACAGG
Molecule: ribosomal RNA, 429 nt
Filed under: Gemmatimonadota bacterium
Lineage: Bacteria; Pseudomonadati; Gemmatimonadota
Description: Gemmatimonadetes bacterium partial 16S ribosomal RNA
Rfam family: Bacterial small subunit ribosomal RNA
Source: RNAcentral